Lathyrus oleraceus (garden pea) is the source of this 826-nucleotide long non-coding RNA. RefSeq lists it as uncharacterized. The record is from RefSeq and is a predicted model, not a curated record. NCBI's taxonomy places the organism in Eukaryota, Viridiplantae, Streptophyta, Magnoliopsida, Fabales, Fabaceae. The transcript is spliced from 2 exons.
CCUCUGAAUAACCUCUAGUCUAAAUCUAGAAUCCUAAAAACCGAAUUAUCUAAAAUUCUAAUUAGUCAAUUCUAAUUAACCUCAUUCCCUAUUUGACACCUAAUCAAAUUCUAAUUAAUCAUGAGAAUCCGAGUCCACUCCGUCUUUAUGUUCUUCGUGCAAGCUGAAGAAGAAACAUGAAAAAGGAGAAAUGCGCUUAUCCAAAAAAGCUCCAACGCGAAUGAACGCCAUCAAGUUGAACAAAAAAAUGAUCACGUAGAAACCACACCGAGCUGACCAACGCCUAUGCAACAAAUCCGAGCAAGUUCAUGAUCGUGUGCGACGUUAUCACGGCUUCACGUUCAUCAAGCACGGUUCAUAGAUUCGUGAUUCGCGUCGUUCCAUCAUCAAUUCAAAGAUUUGCAUCGUCAAAUUCAACUCGUCCUGUUAUCGUAUGCGCGAACAGAAAGAGAAGCGGUAUCGAAAGUGAAUAAGAUAACUUACCGAAUUGAACAUGUUACUUGGAGUGCUUGGUGAGAUUGGAUCAUGGUCAUGAGAUUGUUCAUGGAGUUUGUGGAUUGGAAUUAGAUGGCCAUCCUUGGAAUCAAUGGGGUUGUUUUGUUCAUUGGGAUUGUUUUGUAAUUGGUUUAGGUUUGAAUGUUGUACAUAAUAUAAUUGGAAUUGUGUGUGUAGUGUAUGUAUGGAAAUUGGUGAAUGUAAUGUAUUAGGGUUGAUCAUGUGAGGUUUGAAUGAACAUGAUAUUUUGGUAGGCUUUGUGUUUGGUUAUGUAAUGUUGAAGUUCGGAUGAAAUGGCGGUUUGGAAUUUGAAUAGAAUUGGAAUUGGAAU